CAACCCUCGCAUGCCCCUUCGGGGGCGGCGGUGUUGGGGACCGGCCCUCCCGCCCUCCGCGGCGGCGGCCGCCCCCUAAAUGCAGGGGCGGUCCCGCCGGCGCCUCCCCCGCGUAGUAGCAUUAGCCUCGCGGACUGGGAGCGCUGGCGCGGUACCAAAGCCGUAAAACCCCCCGACUGAAGGCCCCCGGGCCGAAGA
This 198-nucleotide unclassified non-coding RNA is filed under the name uncultured Hypocreaceae. RNAcentral describes it as "sequence contains ITS2". The record is from RNAcentral. Lineage: Eukaryota; Fungi; Ascomycota; Sordariomycetes; Hypocreales.